RNAcentral lists this long non-coding RNA (2631 nucleotides) under Numida meleagris (helmeted guineafowl). RNAcentral describes it as "lncRNA (ENSNMEG00000006331.1)". The record is from RNAcentral. Lineage: Eukaryota; Metazoa; Chordata; Aves; Galliformes; Numididae.
CAGGUGCUGGGCUUCAACACGCGGCAGCGCAAGGCGUUCCUGAACGCGGUGAUGCGCUGGGGGAUGCCGCCCCAGGACGCCUUCACCUCGCAGUGGUUGGUGCGCGACCUGCGCGGCAAGAGCGAGAAGGAGUUCAAGUGGGUGCAGCGCGUGGCCACGCGUGUCAGCCCGUGUCCUCACGUGUCAGCCCGUGUCCUCACGUGUCAGCCCAUGUCCUCGUGUCAGCCCGUGACUUCCUGUGUCAGCCUGUGUCCUCCUGUGUCAGCCCGUGUCCUCACAUGUCAGCACAUGUCCUUGCGUGUCAGCCCGUGUCCUCAUGCCAUCCCGUGUCCUCGCAUGCCAUCCCAUGUCCUCGCGUGCCAUCCCAUGUCCUCACGUCAGCCCAUGUCCUCGUGUCAGCCCGUGACUUCCUGCGUCAGCCUGUGUCCUCCUGUGUCGUCUUGUGUCCUCGCGUGUCAUCCCAUGACCUCACGUGUCAUCCCGUGUCCUCGCGUGUCAUCCCGUGUCAUUGUGUGUCAGCCCGUGUCCUCGUGUCAGCCCAUGACUUCCUGUGUCAGCCUGCAUCCUUCUGUCUCAUCUUGGGUCCUCCUGUGUCAUCCCGUGUCCUCGCGUGUCAGCACAUGGCCUUGCAUGUCAUCCCCUGUCCUUGCUUGUCAUCCCAUGUCCUCACAUGUGAUCCCGUGCCCUCACAUGUCAGCACAUGUCCUUGCGUGUCAGCCCAUGUCCUCGUGUCAUCCUGUGUCCUUGCGUGUGAUCCCGUGUCCUCACAUGUCAGCCCAUGUCCUCGCGUGCCAGCCCGUGUCCUUGUGUCAACCCGUGACUUCCUGUGUCAGCCCGUGUCCUCGCGUGUCAGCCCAUGUCCUCGUGUGUCCCCAUGUCCUCGUGUGUCCCCAUGUCCUCGUGUGUCCCCAUGUCCCCAUGUGUGUCCCCAUGUCUUUGUGUCCCCAAGUCCUCUUCCUUGUCCCCCUGCCACCUUUCACGUCUCCCUGUCCCCACUUCUGUCCCCACCCGUGUCCCCAAGUCCCCCCCCAUCUCCCUCCACCCGCGUGUCCCCCUCUGUGUCCCCACUCAUGUCCCCCUGUCCCCACGUGUCCUGCAGUCCCCGCCUCUUGGUGUCCCCCUCUGACCCCCCCAUGUCCCCAUCUGUCCCAUCUUGUCCCCCCGUUGUCCCCGUGCCGCGUGAUGAGCCCUUACUCAGCCGAGCGCCGUCGCCGUCGGUUUUCCUGGGGAGCGGGCGAGGGCCGCGUCCCCCUCGCACCGACACACAGCCACCCCCGCGGGGACAGGGCCGUCCCCGUGUCCCCAAUGUCCCCGGGGGGGGCCGGCCGAGGCCCCCCGGGGUGGGGCCAGAGAUGUGGCAGCACCCGGGCGACGCCGGCACAGCCCUGGGCUGGGCGCUGUGACGAGGGGACAGCUGAUGGCGCGGGGACGUCGCUGGGGGCGUUGGGGGGAAUGGGGGCAAUGGGGGACAGCGUGGGUAACGGGGACAGCGGGGAUGGUGGGGACACUGGGGACAUUGGGGGUGAUGGGGACAUUGGGGACAUCGGGGAUGAUGGGGACAUUGGGGACAUUAGGGACAUCGGGGAUGAUGGGGACAUUGGGGAUGCUGGAGACAUUGGGGAACAUUGGGGGUGAUGGGGACAUUGGAGACAUUGGGGAUGAUGGGGACAUUGGGGGACAUUGGGGGUGAUGGGGACACUGGGGACAUUGGGGAUGAUGGGGAUGCUGGGGACAUCAGAGGUGCUGGGGACAUUGGGGACAUAGGGGACAUUGGGGACAUUGUGGGUGAUGGGGACAUUGUGGGGCAUUGGGAACACUGGGGAUGCUGGGGACAUUGGGGACAUUGUGCGUAAGGGGGACAUUGGAGACAGUGGGGACAGGGACAUGGGUUGAGGACACCAAGGACCAGAGGAACAGGGUGAAGAUGGGACACAGGGGACAUUGGGGACAGAAGGGACGAGGACUUUGGGGCCAGAAGGGACAAGGACACUGGGGACAAUAGGGACGGGGACAUUGGGGACCAGAGGGAUGGGGACAUUGGGGACAGAAGUGACGGGGACAUUGGGGACAGAAGUGACAGGGACAUUGGGGACAGAAGGGAUGGGGACAUUGGGGACCAGAGGGAUGGGGACACUGGGGACAGAAGGGACGGGGACAUUAGGGACCAGAGGAAUGGGGACAUUGGGGACAGAAGGGCCGGGGACAUUGGGGACCAGAGGGAUGGAGACAUUGGGGACCAGAGGGAUGGAGACAUUGGGGACAGAAGGGACGGGGACAUUGGGGACCGGAGAGAUGGGGACAUUGGGGACUGAAGGGACAGGGGCUUUGGGGACCAUAGGGAUGGGGACAUUGGGGACAGAAGGGACGGGGACAUUGGGGACCGGAGAGAUGGGGACAUUGGGGACCGAAGGGACAGGGGCUUUGGGGACCAGAGGAAUGGGGACAUUGGGCACAGAGGAGACGGGGACAUUGGGGACCGGAGGCACGGGGACACUGGGGACAGAAGGGACGAGGACAUUGGGCACAGAGGAGAUGGGGACAUUGGGGACCAGAGGGAUGGAGACAUUGGGGACAGAAGGGACGGGGACAUUGGGGACCAGAGGGACGGGGACAUUGGGGACAGAAGGGACG